Molecule: ribosomal RNA, 440 nt
Filed under: uncultured bacterium
Lineage: Bacteria
Description: partial 16S ribosomal RNA
Rfam family: Bacterial small subunit ribosomal RNA
Source: RNAcentral
CCUACGGGUGGCAGCAGUGGGGAAUAUUGCACAAUGGGGGAAACCCUGAUGCAGCGACGCCGCGUGAGUGAAGAAGGAUCUCGGUACGUAAAGCCCUUUCAGCAGGGAAGAAAAUGACGGUACCUGACUAAUAAGCCCCGGCUAACUACGUGCCAGCAGCCGCGGUAAUACGUAGGGGGCAAGCGUUAUCCGGAUUUACUGGGGGUAAAGGGAGCGUAGGCGGCAGCACAAGUCUGGUGUGAAAUCCCGGGGCUUAACCCUGGAACUGCUUUUGAAACUGUGAGGCUGGAGUGCAGGAGGGGUAGGCGGAAUGCUUGGUGUAGCGGUGAAAUGCGUAGAGAUCAGGAGGAACACUGGUGGCGAAGGCGGCUUACUGGACUGUAACUGACGUUGAGGCUCGAAAGCGUGGGGAGCAAACAGGAUUAGAUACCCCAGUAGUC